UUUGCUAUAUUACGUCUAUGGUUUUGGAAACGAGCUGCUGACUGCAACUACCGACUACUGCCCGUGCUGCUGAUGUCGCUGUCUAGUUGAUAUCGAUCUUGUUAUGUUAUAUUAUGUUACUGCAAGGAACGAUAUCAUAAUAAUCUAAGCCCCCAGUACACAUUGCCCCAGGCGUGGCCACUACAUGCCAUCAACAAGAAAUGGCAAAAUGAGUUUACACCGCGGGCUGGAGGAGGGCUGCCAGAGAUAGAAUGCAGGAUGCAGGAAAACUUUAGAGGACGCUUUUGCCAAAAGUCACAUUGAACUUAGAGAUUUAUCUAAAGAAGAAAACAAAUACCUCAUUUAUUUUAUUUAGCUAGCUUCUGCCCAUGGCUUUCGUCCGCGUGGUGUGUUGAUAAAAAGUAGCUUGUGUUAAUCCAGAGUGUCACCUAUGUAUAUACAUAAAUCGGUCCAGCUAUUUUUGCGUGAAAGAAUAACAAACAUACAUCUUUUACAAUUUUAUCAUUAGUUUAUAUAUUACUAUAUAUUUUAUUUUCUAAUCGUCCCAAACCACAAAGUACAUUAUGUCCCUAACUACUCUAUGGUCUAUUCAAACAGUCCAAAAAAAGCGUUAAAUUAAAAAUUGUAUACUGAUCAUUGUGGUAUAGCCAACGUUAUAAUUGACUUGGACUCAGAUGAUUCGUUCUGUGACAAUGACCGACGUGACGACAGAGCAUCUGAUACCCAGUGCUUUGCGAAAGGUGCUAAACCAUCAUUAAGACUAACUGCAAUUGAAAACACAAAUAAAAAGAAAAAUGCAAAACAGAAAUCGCCUACCUCCAUAAAGGCAAAAGAGACAUCUUCAUUACCUGGUAAUAGCAAAAAGUUUGGAGGCUGUCCCAUAUGUUGGGAUGAAUUAGGUAAAAACCCUUUGGCAUCUACUAAAUGUGGACAUGUGUACUGUAUGAAAUGUAUAGAGGGAUAUCUUAAAGUUCAAAAGAAAUGUCCCACUUGUCGAAAGAGUUUAAAGGGAUCUUCUCCAUACCAUGCACUUUAUCUAUAAAAAGUUUUUUAUAAAAACUGACCUCACGCACAGUCAAAAUGUGCAACCUACCAAUGCUUUACUUUCAAAAAAUCUUCUUGCAUGCGAUGUGUUCACUUCAGUAUUUUUUUCAUAUUCCACAGAACAUUUGCCAAAACUUUCAUGAAAUGCAAUCAUUAGAAUUAGUAAGUUAUUUAUAAUAGUUUUAAUUUGUUACAAUGUUUUUUUUAUAUUUAUUUGCAACAAUAUACAGUGGUGAACAACCAAUUAGAUACACUGUGGUCGAACUCGGGACCUCAAAACAAAUAAUGGUGUUUCUAAUUUCUUGUCCACUACAGGAUGCAUAUAUAUAUAUUUAAUAAUUUAAGGUAUAUAUUUAAUUUAUUAUAAGGAAUUAUUAAUAUAGAUUCUUUUUAUUAAUAUAAAGUUGCACAUUUGCCGUACCCCAUCAAAUCAUUCUUUCACUCUAAGGUUGGCUGGAAGAGAACCCAACACUGGGUUAAGCUCGCCAUUGUACAUUAUCUCUCUGUAUUCAGUGUGUCUCUCUGUAUUUAUGUGUGCAAUAAAGAAAGAAUAAUAAUAAUAAUGCAUAGUUAGGAAAAGAUAAUUAUUCAUGAAUGUAUAUAGUAAGUUAUGUCCCGACAUUGUUUUUGUCAUUUAUUUAUUUAGAACAUAUAAUUUACAUUUUUAAAUAUUAAAUAUAAAAAUAAAAAACAUUUAAAAAUUUAAAAAAUAGGUUGCCACCGAUAUCGGGCACAGGGUCCAAGGUACCGGUGG
Molecule: RNA transcript, 1798 nt
Organism: Helicoverpa armigera (cotton bollworm)
Lineage: Eukaryota; Metazoa; Arthropoda; Insecta; Lepidoptera; Noctuidae
Exons: 4
Source: RefSeq, a predicted model, not a curated record